UGACCAUUUUAUUAAUCUACCAUUUAUUUAAAAUAUUUCGUUACAGAGGGAAGAACUCAUCUGGGAUUCCAAUUAGUUAACUAGCCAGUCACUUAGCUGACACCUGUUUAGGAAACAAACAAACAGACAAACCAAAAACGCCAAGAUUAUCUGCUAACAGUCUCCUUUAAUAAGUAAGGUUUCUCAAACUUGAGGGAAAAAAGUUAGGAUUCCAAUCAGAAGCUGUGGAGGCAAGGUAAAAAGAAAUCUCAGCCCACGCAGUAACAUCCAGAGAGAAGCUCUGCCUCAAGACUUGAAUCUAAUCAGAGACCAAGCCAGAGAACAAAUUCUCCUGCUGCUCACACAGCUAUUUCUAAAUGCAGAAGCUUGCGUGACAAAACCAGCUACAAAACAACAUAUUUUUCAAAGUCUGAUCACAUGCUAAGGAAAAUAACUUGGAAGAAUAUGUAGACGAGCCUUGCUGCUGCUUGUUGUUGUACUGUAAGCACUGAAUCUUGUUGCAAGGAUUAUGUACUGUAAGAAAUGUCAAAC
Molecule: long non-coding RNA, 531 nt
Filed under: Anser brachyrhynchus (Pink-footed goose)
Lineage: Eukaryota; Metazoa; Chordata; Aves; Anseriformes; Anatidae
Description: lncRNA (ENSABRG00000015852.1)
Source: RNAcentral